This 69-nucleotide transfer RNA is filed under the name Metacarcinus magister (Dungeness crab). Its description in RNAcentral is "tRNA-Val". The record is from RNAcentral. Lineage: Eukaryota; Metazoa; Arthropoda; Malacostraca; Decapoda; Cancridae.
ACUGUCUUGGCAGAUAAUAUGCUCUAGACUUAGGAUCUAGUUAAAUAGAAAUUAAUUCUAUAGAUAGUA